RNAcentral lists this unclassified non-coding RNA (253 nucleotides) under uncultured Cryomorphaceae bacterium. Its description in RNAcentral is "contains 16S-23S intergenic spacer region". It matches the Rfam family "Bacterial small subunit ribosomal RNA", at positions 524 to 776 of the family's 1533-position model. The record is from RNAcentral. Lineage: Bacteria; Pseudomonadati; Bacteroidota; Flavobacteriia; Flavobacteriales; Cryomorphaceae.
UACGGAGGGUGCAAGCGUUAUCCGGAAUUAUUGGGUUUAAAGGGUCCGCAGGCGGGGUACUAAGUCAGUGGUGAAAGGCUGUCGCUUAACGAUAGCAUUGCCAUUGAUACUGGUACUCUUGAGUGUAGUUGAGGUGGGCGGAAUAAGUCAUGUAGCGGUGAAAUGCAUAGAUAUGACUUAGAACACCGAUUGUGAAGGCAGCUCACUAAGCUACUAAUGACGCUGAGGGACGAAAGCGUGGGGAGCAAACAGG